UACAGAGGGGGCAAGCGUUAUUCGGAAUUAUUGGGCGUAAAGGGCGCGUAGGCGGCCUGGCAAGUGGAUGGUGAAAUCCCUCGGCUUAACCGAGGAACUGCCAUCCAGACUGCUUGGCUUGAGACCGGGAGAGGUGAGUGGAAUUCCCAGUGUAGCGGUGAAAUGCGUAGAUAUUGGGAGGAACACCAGUGGCGAAGGCGGCUCACUGGACCGGAACUGACGCUGAGGCGCGAAAGCGUGGGGAGCAAACGGG
RNAcentral lists this ribosomal RNA (253 nucleotides) under uncultured bacterium. RNAcentral's name for it is "partial 16S ribosomal RNA". It matches the Rfam family "Bacterial small subunit ribosomal RNA", at positions 524 to 776 of the family's 1533-position model. The record is from RNAcentral.